CCGACACGUCAGCACGACAUAAUCUUAUAGUUAAUAAAUGAUGUGUGGGAGGGUCGUUGAGAUCGGUUUGGUUUCGUAGAAUCCGAUUGGGACCCACCACCAUUAGUUAUAGGAACUAAAAAACAAUAGACCCAAUCUGGACCGUCCAGAUUGGACAAUGAACCAAAAGAGAAAGAUGAGCCGACGAUGAUGCGUUAUUAUCAAUCUUAGCUGGUUCGAUUCGAUGCACAUGUGAACAAAGUUUUUCGGACAAUCCCAUGUACCACGUGUCAGUAGUUCUUUACAGUUUCGACAAAACAUUUAUUUUUUUGGACCACUAAUUUAAUCCCCACAAGUGUAACUUUGCAUGCAUGCAAAACUCGUUUUAUUCUUUUGUUUCUGAAAAGAAAUUUCUAAGUAAACGGUGGUAAUAUCGAUCGGAACUUACUUGUCUUUGUUCAUUGGGUAGAUAAGGAUAGGGCCACUAGUUUUAUUCCCCAAAAUGCCCUUGAAAACGCCUUUGUCAAAAUCAGAGAUUCUUGAUUUUGGUACGAAUAGGUUGAGCCAUGGGUGUGGAACCUCCCAUAAAUUCUUCGACCGGAGCUUCAGCUCCGCCUUGUGAACCCGGUCCAGGAAAUCCACAUAUUGCAAAUCGGUCCAUUUGAGUAAAGAUAUACUUAAGACUCUGGUGAUCUGUGAGGAUCUGAACUUUCUCCCCAUAUAGAUAUGACCUCCAUAUUUUUAGCGCAAAAACAACUGCUGCUAACUCCAAAUCAUGGGUGGGGUAGUUGACCUCGUGAGGCCUCAACUGACGUGAUGCAUAAGCGAUAACAUGACCAUCCUGCAUCAAUACACAACCCAAACCAGUACCUGACGCAUCUGUGUAAACGUCAUAUGGUAUCCCUGGCCUCGGCAGUACCAAAACUGGCGUGUCUGUGAGUUGUCGCUUCAAUUCUGUGAGACUCUUCGAGCACUCAUCUGUCCACACAAACUUAACAUCUUUGCCUGUCAACUGAGUCAUCGGUUUGGCGAUACUAGCAAAUCCCUUGACGAAUUUCCUGUAAUAACCUGCUAAACCCAGAAAACUACGGAUCUCUGUAGCACUCUUAGGUGUCGGCCACUCUGUAAUUGCGACAAUCUUCUCUGGAUCUACAGCAACUCCUGCCUCAGAAACCACAUGACCCAAAAAUCCAAUCUUUCUCUGCCAGAAGCUACACUUACUCAGCUUAGCAAAUAGUUGAUGCUCUCUGAGCUUCUCCAACACAAUCCGUAAAUGCUCAGCAUGCUCUUCCCUACUCCGAGAAUAAAUCAGAAUAUCGUCGAUGAAGACGAUCACGCACUUAACCAAGUACUCGCGAAAAACAUCAUUCAUAAGUUUCAUGAACGCUGCAGGUGCAUUCGUCAACCCAAAUGGCAUCACCACAAACUCGUAAUGUCCAUAACGUGUGCGGAAAGCCGUCUUCCGUACAUCCUCCCCUGCUAUCGCAAUCUGGUGAUAACCUGAUGCCAAGUCAAUCUUAGAAAACCAUGAGGCUCCCUGUAACUGAUCCAACAACUCAUCAAUACGCGGAAGUGGAUACUUAUUCUUGAUGGUCACCUUGUUCAAACCUCUGUAAUCAAUACAAAGCCUGAAACUCCCAUCUUUCUUCUUCACAAACAGUACUGGUGCUCCCCACGGUGAAGUACUGGGUCUGAUGAAACCCUUACCCAAUAGCUCCUCCAACUGUCUUUUAGUUCAGCCAUCUCUGCUGGCGCUAGUCGGUACGGGGCCCGUGAAACCGGUGCUGUCCCUGGUUCCAACUCAAUAGUGAGAGCAUCUCUUCUCGCUGGUGGUGGUCCCUUUAAGGCCUCAAAUACAUCCUCGAACUCCUCAACCACCGGAAUGUCCUGCAACUCGUGAUGUCCGUCGUUCUUAACCAUCGAAAUAGUCGCCAGAAACCCCUCUGCUCCUCUCAUUUUUUAUAAAAUAUGUGCUCAAUUUGUUGUUCCACAAAAGCUGAACCUUCCCCUUUCGCUUGGUUGCAGCAACGACCGACCGAUAAUGACAGAUAUGUGCAGAAUUGUAAGAACGGAAGAUCUCCAAAGGAGACGAGAUGGUGGUUCCACGAUGAUAAAGUAUAAACCAUCCAUCCAUCAAAACCAUAAAUGUAUAAUAAUCCAAAACAGUCAUGAGGUUUGUUUGUUGUCUAAUUUUAAUUUAAUAAUCGGGUUUAAAGCUUCGCUAGACCCAUAUCAAAAUCCGUGAUGAUGUAGAAAAUUUAAACAGUAACAUAUUACUAACUUGAAUCUUCCUAACUCUAAUUUUUAAACGAUACGAACAAAAUACGCCAACCUAAUCUCUCUCUGAUGCUUCUCUAUUAGGACAUAUAUAUACAUCAGGAAGAAUAUAAUCUCAACUACUACUUUCCCCCUCUGAUUCUGUCCUGUCACCAUGAAGCUGACGAUGAAGACGGCGAUGGAGGAAACAAAGCCAGAGAUGGGUUUUGAAAGAUUUUCUGACCGGUAGCGAGUAUAUGCCGUGGAUCGAACUCAGCCUUCAUGCUUCUAAACUGAUCCCAUCUGUCUCCAUAAUGAUCCACCCACUCCUCUUGCGUUGCAUGGUGAGGAAGGUACUGCUUCACAUUGAUCUUGGCUUGUUCACAGAACUCCAAGAUCCGACGGUUCUGAUCUUUCAAAUACUCUAGCUUCUGCGUUUCCUCACCAUCCGAUAAAGCUGAUCUCAAUAGAGCCACCAGGUAGAAAACUUCCUCGUCCGGUGUAACGGCCGAGCUUCUUUCGUCCCAUCUGGCAUUACAAAAAAUCCGACACGUCAGCACGACAUAAUCUUAUAGUUAAUAAAUGAUGUGAGGGAGGGUCGUUGAGAUCGGUUUGGUUUCGUAGAAUCCGAUUGGGACCCACCACCAUUAGUUAUAGGAACUAAAAAACAAUAGACCCAAUCUGGACCGUCCAGAUUGGACAAUGAACCAAAAGAGAAAGAUGAGCCGACGAUGAUGCGUUAUUAUCAAUCUUAGCUGGUUCGAUUCGAUGCACAUGUGAACAAAGUUUUUCGGACAAUCCCAUGUACCACGUGUCAGUAGUUCUUUACAGUUUCGACAAAACAUUUAUUUUUUUGGACCACUAAUUUAAUCCCCACAAGUGUAACUUUGCAUGCAUGCAAAACUCGUUUUAUUCUUUUGUUUCUGAAAAGAAAUUUCUAAGUAAACGGUGGUAAUAUCGAUCGGAACUUACUUGUCUUUGUUCAUUGGGUAGAUAAGGAUAGGGCCACUAGUUUUAUUCCCCAAAAUGCCCUUGAAAACGCCUUUGUCAAAAUCAGAGAUUCUUGAUUUUGGUACGAAUAGGUUGAGCCAUGGGUGUGGAACCUCCCAUAAAUUCUUCGACCGGAGCUUCAGCUCCGCCUUGUGAACCCGGUCCAGGAAAUCCACAUAUUGCAAAUCUGUCGUGAAUACCGAUGUCGGUAUAAAAUUUAAUUCCUUCAUCAAAAUCUCUAC
Molecule: long non-coding RNA, 3467 nt
Filed under: Brassica napus (rape)
Lineage: Eukaryota; Viridiplantae; Streptophyta; Magnoliopsida; Brassicales; Brassicaceae
Description: long non-coding RNA (BNAP_LNC019302)
Source: RNAcentral